This 561-nucleotide long non-coding RNA is filed under the name Ananas comosus (pineapple). RNAcentral describes it as "long non-coding RNA (ACOM_LNC011249)". The record is from RNAcentral. Lineage: Eukaryota; Viridiplantae; Streptophyta; Magnoliopsida; Poales; Bromeliaceae.
AUAUAUAUAUAGUGUGAGGCUAUUAUGCUUUUGGAAGCACAGAGCCUUCCGUGCUUCCACGUCGUUUUCGAUGUUGCGAUUUUCAAAUCGUCGAUCGGCUUCGUUAAACUUGAUUUAGAGUAUUUGAAGUACCUAGAAAAUAAAUUUUAUGAUUUUUCGAUAUCAUUUGCCUAGUGAUCGAAGGGGCUCAAAAUCAAUAAUUUUAAUGGCCGUAGUGAGCCGUUUGCAAGUUUAACGGUGUAAAAAUAUCCAAAUGACGUAAAAUUUUGAUAGAAAAUUUUUUAUACUAUAUAAAACAAGAGCGAUAUCUUUGAUCUAAAAUUUUAAUGUCAUAUUAUCACGUUUUGUAAAAUUUUUAUUUUCAGGCGUUGAUUUUGAACCCCUUCGUUCUUCGUUCACUAGGCAAAUAAUAUCAAAUAAUCAUAUAAUUUAUUUUCUAGGUACUUCAAAUACUCUAGAUUAAGUUUAACGAAACCGAUCGACGAUUCGAAAGUCGCAACAUGGAAAAUGACCCGGAAGCAUGGAAGGCUCCGUGCUUCCAGAAGCAUAGUAGCCUCAAUC